GAGGUUAUAGCUCAGUGGUGGAGUGUGUGCUUAGCAUGCUCAAGGUCCUGGGUUCAAUCCCCAGUAUUUCCA
This 72-nucleotide transfer RNA is filed under the name Camelus ferus (Wild Bactrian camel). It matches the Rfam family "tRNA". From Rfam's summary of the family: Transfer RNA (tRNA) molecules are approximately 80 nucleotides in length. The record is from Rfam by way of RNAcentral. Lineage: Eukaryota; Metazoa; Chordata; Mammalia; Artiodactyla; Camelidae.